Molecule: ribosomal RNA, 2100 nt
Filed under: human metagenome
Description: bacterial LSU rRNA
Rfam family: Bacterial large subunit ribosomal RNA
Source: RNAcentral
ACAGUGGUACUAAGCGUACGAAAAGUAGGGCGGGACACGUGAAAUCCUGUCUGAAUAUGGGGGGACCAUCCUCCAAGGCUAAAUACUCAUCAUCGACCGAUAGUGAACCAGUACCGUGAGGGAAAGGCGAAAAGAACCCCGGGAGGGGAGUGAAAUAGAACCUGAAACCUGAUGCAUACAAACAGUGGGAGCACCCUUGUGGUGUGACUGCGUACCUUUUGUAUAAUGGGUCAACGACUUACAUUCAGUAGCGAGCUUAACCGGAUAGGGGAGGCGUAGGGAAACCGAGUCUUAAUAGGGCGAUGAGUUGCUGGGUGUAGACCCGAAACCGAGUGAUCUAUCCAUGGCCAGGUUGAAGGUGCCGUAACAGGUACUGGAGGACCGAACCCACGCAUGUUGCAAAAUGCGGGGAUGAGCUGUGGAUAGGGGUGAAAGGCUAAACAAACUCGGAGAUAGCUGGUUCUCCCCGAAAACUAUUUAGGUAGUGCCUCGAGCAAGACACUGAUGGGGGUAAAGCACUGUUAUGGCUAGGGGGUUAUUGCAACUUACCAACCCAUGGCAAACUAAGAAUACCAUCAAGUGGUUCCUCGGGAGACAGACAGCGGGUGCUAACGUCCGUUGUCAAGAGGGAAACAACCCAGACCGCCAGCUAAGGUCCCAAAUGAUAGAUUAAGUGGUAAACGAAGUGGGAAGGCCCAGACAGCCAGGAUGUUGGCUUAGAAGCAGCCAUCAUUUAAAGAAAGCGUAAUAGCUCACUGGUCGAGUCGUCCUGCGCGGAAGAUGUAACGGGGCUCAAAUCUAUAACCGAAGCUGCGGAUGCUAGUUUACUAGCAUGGUAGGGGAGCGUUCUGUAGGCCGAUGAAGGUGCAUUGUAAAGUGUGCUGGAGGUAUCAGAAGUGCGAAUGUUGACAUGAGUAGCGAUAAAGCGGGUGAAAAGCCCGCUCGCCGAAAGCCCAAGGUUUCCUACGCAACGUUCAUCGGCGUAGGGUGAGUCGGCCCCUAAGGCGAGGCAGAAAUGCGUAGUCGAUGGGAAACAGGUUAAUAUUCCUGUACUUGAUUCAAAUGCGAUGUGGGGACGGAGAAGGUUAGGUUAGCAAGCUGUUGGAAUAGCUUGUUUAAGCCGGUAGGUGGAAGACUUAGGCAAAUCCGGGUCUUCUUAACACCGAGAAGUGACGACGAGUGUCUACGGACAUGAAGUAACCGAUACCACGCUUCCAGGAAAAGCCACUAAGCUUCAGUUUGAAUCGAACCGUACCGCAAACCGACACAGGUGGGCAGGAUGAGAAUUCUAAGGCGCUUGAGAGAACUCGGGAGAAGGAACUCGGCAAAUUGAUACCGUAACUUCGGGAGAAGGUAUGCCCUCUAAUGUAAAGGACUUGCUCCGGAAGCAUCUGAGGGUCGCAGAGAAUCGGUGGCUGCGACUGUUUAUUAAAAACACAGCACUCUGCAAACACGAAAGUGGACGUAUAGGGUGUGACGCCUGCCCGGUGCUGGAAGGUUAAUUGAAGAUGUGAGAGCAUCGGAUCGAAGCCCCAGUAAACGGCGGCCGUAACUAUAACGGUCCUAAGGUAGCGAAAUUCCUUGUCGGGUAAGUUCCGACCCGCACGAAUGGCGUAACGAUGGCCACACUGUCUCCUCCCGAGACUCAGCGAAGUUGAAAUGGUUGUGAAGAUGCAAUCUCCCCGCUGCUAGACGGAAAGACCCCGUGAACCUUUACUGUAGCUUUGCAUUGGACUUUGAAGUCACUUGUGUAGGAUAGGUGGGAGGCUUAGAAGCAGAGACGCCAGUCUCUGUGGAGCCGUCCUUGAAAUACCACCCUGGUGUCUUUGAGGUUCUAACCCAGACCCGUAAUCCGGGUCGGGGACCGUGCAUGGUAGGCAGUUUGACUGGGGCGGUCUCCUCCCAAAGAGUAACGGAGGAGUUCGAAGGUUACCUAGGUCCGGUCGGAAAUCGGACUGAUAGUGCAAUGGCAAAAGGUAGCUUAACUGCGAGACCGACAAGUCGAGCAGGUGCGAAAGCAGGACAUAGUGAUCCGGUGGUUCUGAAUGGAAGGGCCAUCGCUCAACGGAUAAAAGGUACUCCGGGGAUAACAGGCUGAUU